AACAACCUAAAAGAGUGAUGAAACAACAACUUCUUUAUUUUCAGAAGAAAAAGAAUCUUAGCAACAGAAAGUUUUGGAGUGUUCUUGGAAGGGCCCAAUUUUCGGACACUGUGAAAUAAUUCAAAUGGUUCAAUGAAUUUCAAACCGAUAAAGAAGAAUCAGAACAGACGAAAUUGUAAAUACCCACAUGCUAGAACUUGCCGUAGAUUAUAAUGAAGAAGCAUCUAAAUUGGGUCAAGAAAAAGAAGCAGGAGGAAUUGGAAAAUGAGGCAUCAACUCAAGUUGGGGUUAAACUUACAGUGCCUGUGAGGUUCUUGCUUUGUA
This is a long non-coding RNA of Rhododendron vialii, 324 nucleotides long. RefSeq lists it as uncharacterized. The transcript has 2 exons. NCBI's taxonomy places the organism in Eukaryota, Viridiplantae, Streptophyta, Magnoliopsida, Ericales, Ericaceae. The record is from RefSeq and is a predicted model, not a curated record.